RNAcentral lists this ribosomal RNA (370 nucleotides) under Dascyllus melanurus (blacktail humbug). Its description in RNAcentral is "partial 12S ribosomal RNA". It matches the Rfam family "Bacterial small subunit ribosomal RNA", at positions 1018 to 1533 of the family's 1533-position model. The record is from RNAcentral. Lineage: Eukaryota; Metazoa; Chordata; Actinopteri; Pomacentridae.
ACUCACCUCCUUGUCUUUCCCGCCUAUAUACCGCCGUCGUCAGCUUACCCUUUGAGGGAUCCAUAGUAAGCACAAUUGGCACAGCCCAGUACGUCAGGUCGAGGUGUAGCUAAUGAGAGGGGAUGAGAUGGGCUACAUUUCCUAAACAAGGAAAUACGAACAAUUGUUCUGAAACGAACAUUAGAAGGAGGAUUUAGUAGUAAGUAGGAAGCAGAGAGUUCUACUGAAAUUGGCCAACUUAAGCGCGUACACACCGCCCGUCACUCUCCCCGAGCAAAUAAAUCACUAUACCUAAUUAUCCCACACCUGCAAUUACAGGGGAGGCAAGUCGUAACAUGGUAAGUGUACCGGAAGGUGCACUUGGAUAAAU